ACUCCUACGGGAGGCAGCAGUGGGAAUAUUGCACAAUGGGGAAGCCAUCGAUGCAGCCAUGCCGCGUGUCGUGAAGAAGGCCAAUUCGGGGCUUUGGUUAAAGACACAUUUUCAGUAGGGGAGGAAGGUAGUGUAGUUAACACCUGCAUUAUUUGACGUUACCUACAGAAGAAGCACCGGCUAACUCCGUGCCAGCAGCCGCGGUAAUAACGGAGGGUGCGAGCGUUAAUCGGAAUUACUGGGCGUAAAGCGCAUGCAGGUGGUUUGUUAAGUCAGAUGUGAAAGCCGGGCUC
This 293-nucleotide ribosomal RNA is filed under the name uncultured bacterium. RNAcentral's name for it is "partial 16S ribosomal RNA". It matches the Rfam family "Bacterial small subunit ribosomal RNA", at positions 335 to 608 of the family's 1533-position model. The record is from RNAcentral.